AAAUAAAAUGAACCACAAAUAAUCUAAUCAGAUAGGUCCAUGGGGCAGAAGUAGAGUGAACCCUUCCUCUAAGGACACUAUGCCAUAUAACCAGGAAAUGUUGGCACCAGAAUUUAACCCAGGCCAGCUACCUCCAGAGUUGACUGUCUUAAUCGUGACCUUUCACGACUUUCCUCUCCAGGAAUAUCAUCCAUUAUUUUUUGAUUAGAGAUACCUUUCUACUUUCAAACAACCAUGGAGAGGACAGAGAACAUGUGAUACAGUACUGCCAGAUGUGUGUUGUCACUAUCUCUGGGUGUGUCAUGUCUUGUCCUGUCCCCUCCCAUCUUUAUCGCUCAUCUGUUCUCAUUAGGAAAAUUCUUAUUUUUAAGACCCAGCCAGAAACUCUUCCCUGACUGCUCUAGUGCACAAUGCCUCACAGUUCCAAAAUACAAAUUAUUCCUUAUGUUGACAUUCACAUGUACCCUGCCAUCUACAUUUGAAUUCUCUUUAAUGUAUGCGCCUGUGUCACUAGAGCUAUAAGCUCCUGGAAGGCAGGGACCUUCUCAUAUAAUUCUAC
Nycticebus coucang (slow loris) is the source of this 559-nucleotide long non-coding RNA. RefSeq lists it as uncharacterized. The transcript is spliced from 3 exons. NCBI's taxonomy places the organism in Eukaryota, Metazoa, Chordata, Mammalia, Primates, Lorisidae. The record is from RefSeq and is a predicted model, not a curated record.